RNAcentral lists this microRNA precursor (72 nucleotides) under Myotis brandtii (Brandt's bat). RNAcentral describes it as "mir-9193 microRNA precursor family". It matches the Rfam family "mir-9193 microRNA precursor family". The record is from Rfam by way of RNAcentral. Lineage: Eukaryota; Metazoa; Chordata; Mammalia; Chiroptera; Vespertilionidae.
AAUGGGGCAGGGGUCCCUGAGCCUGGAUUGCGAGAGGGCACAGGCCAGGCCGAGGGACCCCACCGGUGCACG